AGAGAGAGAGAGAAUCUAACCUGAUUUUUGUAGAUGGUGUAACCUUCUUUCUCAUGCUGUAGAGCCGACCGGAAUUCAGCUUUGCUCUCAUACACUCGGGCUACCAAGUGGUGGCUGUGAAGUGGGUGGAAAGGAAGGAGUCAGAGCAUUUCUACCCACAGCUGAAGGAGGCAAACAUGAACAAGAGCACCAUGGGGCUGUGGUGGCAGAGUUCAGUGGGGCCAAAGGACAUGCUGUUAACAUCUCCCGAGUGUCUCUGAUCUGCGGUGUUACAGAUAAUUCUCUGUAUCCCUCCCUUAGGGAGAGACAAGCAGCGGCGAUCCAGCUCCAAUAUUCAGAAAAAAUACAUGGCGCAGUUUCCCCUGAGCAUGGACCGCCUCCGAUGGUGAAAAUGGGGCUCUCCAUCAGAGAGUGGAGCCACCUUUGCCUGUCACCCCACGUGGUAGGAGCUUGAGUCUAACAGCUGAGCGGAGAAACCCCACAGAUGCUCCGACACUUGGAGAUGGGAACCGCACCCCUUGAAAUUCUGGCUGCUUUGGAGUCGAUGUUCCUCUCUACCAGCGGGGCUUUCCACCCUCGAGAGCUAGGCUAAGCGGCGCCUACUGAAUUUCUUCCUGCCGUCCGCUUGGUUGCAAAGGACCAGGACACCCGCAUCAGAGGGCAAUCCCAAAAGCACCUCGAGCAGGCCGAGUAAGUGAAGCAGGACGGCUCCGAGAAGAACGUUAGAAGCACUUCCUCAAAACGGAUUCAGCGCAGGAUCCAGGAGCCUGCACGAGCCAACCUGGGCAGCGAGCGAGGGUAUUCCUUUCCAUCUACCCCAUCACCUGCCACCAGCAUCUAAAGGCAGCCAGACAAGACAAGACUAGCCUAUCCAGACUGGAGCACACCGACUAAGAGGGUCUGAACCAUGCCUUUUCCAUGCAAUUUGUUCUACUCUGCAACGGGCUGGCACGCGGGUCCUUAAACGGCCUCGGCUUUGUUUGCCGGGAGUGGCAGAGACCUGGCCAUGAAGAGGUGGUAUGUAAGAUGGCUCAUGAAGGGACCGUAAUGAUGGGCACUCCAGCUCCUCGGGGAAGCAGGACCGCACCUCUGCGGUCCAGCAAUUCUCGUGCUGCAUCAGGACCGAUGAGAUGGCGACCUCAGGAGGUCUGGGCCGAGUUCACUUGGUAACCCUCAGCCAUUCAUUCUUUCCUGGACUAACUUAUUUCAUGGGGUCAGUGCAAGGAUAACAUGGAGGGGGAAGAAGAGCCCAGCAUGCAGCCUUGAGAAAGGAUAGAAAGUACCAUACUCAUUAUUUUGAUCAUGAGGACUAGAAACCCCAUAUUAAACAUGGCAAGACAGGAAAGUUUGGGUUCUCGUGACAUCGUACCCCCUGCAAAUAUAAUUCCGGCCUCACAGACCACGUGGGUUUUAGUGAAGGGUCCCAGGGCCACAGGUUACUUACGUCCAGGAGUGCCAUUUCUGGGUGAUCCUCUCCAAACACCAGCAGCAUGAGGUAGCGUGCGCGAUACAGCAGGUUCAGUGCUGUGGACAGCUGGCUGUUUGCAAAGCAGUACAAAGCAAGGUGCAUCUGCGAAGGGAAGAGAGACAAUUUCGAUAGCAUCCCAGGUUCCUUUCCCCGUCCAACAACAGACAGAAUGUAGCCAUCAGCUUUUUUAAAAAAAAUAAAUUAAACUACUGACAGUACUACCACACUGUAUUCAAUUCUGUGCUUUAUGGAUAAAAGAGCAAACUAAAAUAGUUUAUUUGUUGAUUACUUAAAAGAGGGAUAGAUUGUCUUUCUGAAAGAACUUAUGAACACAAUUCAAAAUGAACAGGGCGGAAUUACUACAUGCAAAAAGGUAUAGCUACGUUCAGUAUUCAUUUAUUUAAAAUUUUUGUAGACUGUGCCAUUACCAAAGUCUUAAGACGGUUUAACAAUAAAAUGUAAGAAAAGAAAAACAUUAAUUAAAACACAGUGUCCUAAAAUUUAGCAAUAAUAAAAAUCCCACUUAAAACA
Varanus komodoensis (Komodo dragon) is the source of this 1999-nucleotide long non-coding RNA. RefSeq lists it as uncharacterized. The record is from RefSeq and is a predicted model, not a curated record. The transcript is spliced from 2 exons. NCBI's taxonomy places the organism in Eukaryota, Metazoa, Chordata, Lepidosauria, Squamata, Varanidae.